This 778-nucleotide ribosomal RNA is filed under the name uncultured Neocallimastigales. RNAcentral's name for it is "partial large subunit ribosomal RNA". It matches the Rfam family "Eukaryotic large subunit ribosomal RNA", at positions 23 to 635 of the family's 3401-position model. Lineage: Eukaryota; Fungi; Neocallimastigomycota; Neocallimastigomycetes; Neocallimastigales. The record is from RNAcentral.
AGAGAGAGACAUGCGCGCAUAUCAAUAAGCGGAGGAAAAGAAACUAACAAGGAUUCCCCUUAGUAACGGCGAGUGAAGCGGGAAGAGCUCAAAUCUGAAAUCUUCAAGGGUUCUACCUUUACGAAUUGUAGUUUAAAGAAGUGUUUUCUGUUAGUGAGUUCGGCUAAAAGUUCUCUGGAAUAGGACAUCAUAGAGGGUGAGAAUCCCGUAUUUGGUCAUUCCUUCUAACUUUGUGAUACACUUUCAAAGAGUCGGAUUGUUUGGGAAUGCAGUCCAAAAUGGGUGGUAAAUUUCAUCUAAAGCUAAAUAUUGGCGAGAGACCGAUAGCGAACAAGUACCGUGAGGGAAAGAUGAAAAGAACUUUGAAAAGAGAGUUAAACAGUACGUGAAAUUGUCAAAAGGGAAGCGUUUGACACCAGUGUUGUUUAGUUGAAAAUCAAUUCAAUAAUUUUUGAUUUUGAGUAGUAUUGACUUCAUCAGCUUGCUGCUCUCUUUUCGGAAAUUAUUGAAUGCACUUUUCAGUUAACAAGUCAACAUCAAUUUCUUUUGUUGUAAAAGGGUAAGAGGAAGGUGGCUUACGCUUCGGCGUAAGUGUUUAUAGCCUUUUACCUCUGCAAUCGGAGAGAUUGAGGUCUGCAGCGUAGACUCUUCGGGGUUAGAUACACUUGUGCUAAGCUAUAGCCUUGUAUAGACAACUUGUUGACUAUGCUCAGUCAUGUAGCUUACUCGCUUGUGCUAUUUUACCUACGCUUAGGAUGUUGAUCUGUAGUGCGUGCGC